Molecule: ribosomal RNA, 440 nt
Filed under: uncultured bacterium
Lineage: Bacteria
Description: partial 16S ribosomal RNA
Rfam family: Bacterial small subunit ribosomal RNA
Source: RNAcentral
CCUACGGGAGGCAGCAGUGGGGAAUAUUGCACAAUGGGGGAAACCCUGAUGCAGCGACGCCGCGUGAGUGAAGAAGUAAUUCGUUACGUAAAGCUCUAUCAGCAGGGAAGAAAAUGACGGUACCUGAGUACUAAGCCCCGGUUAAAUACGUCCCAGCAGCCGCGGUGAUACGUAGGGGGCAUGCGUUAUCCGGAUUUACUGGGUGUAAAGGGAGCGUAGACGGGGGGCCAGGUCUGGAGUGAAAUGCCGCAGCUUAACUGCGGAACUGCUUUGGAAACUGGCGAACUAGAGUGCGGGAGGGGUAAGCGGAAUUCCUAGUGUAGCGGUGAAAUGCGUAGAUAUUAGGAGGAACACCGGUGGCGAAGGCGGCUUACUGGACCGUAACUGACGUUGAGGCUCGAAAGCGUGGGGAGCAAACAGGAUUAGAUACCCUUGUAGUC